Long non-coding RNA from Eriocheir sinensis (Chinese mitten crab), 387 nucleotides. RefSeq lists it as uncharacterized. The record is from RefSeq and is a predicted model, not a curated record. Lineage: Eukaryota; Metazoa; Arthropoda; Malacostraca; Decapoda; Varunidae. The transcript is spliced from 2 exons.
AUAUUGUUACGAAUGUGCUGUAUGUGAAUGAUUGUAUGUGUAAUGUGAUGAAAUUGUAGCAUGAUGCAAUGUUAGCUCAGCAUGGUGCAACUCUACUUGUUGGGACAAGAGAGACAGAGGGGGCCCGGGGCCGCCGGGCCGCCGGGCAGGAAGUGCUGAGUCGAGCAGUGGGGGAGCAAGGGUGGCUGAGGAGUUGAGUUGUAGGGGAGAAGACGCGUGUCUGGGCUUGAGAGAGUGUUGAGGUGCCCCGCUCGCGAGCUGUGUGCAUCCGGUGUGCGUGUCUGCCGUGCCCCUGUACUGUGCCUGAUUAACUAACUGUUCUGUGCCUUUGAAAGUUGCUGUACUCUGUACUGUGUGAGGAACCUGUCAUUAAACUAGAACUUAGUG